Molecule: ribosomal RNA, 111 nt
Filed under: Priestia megaterium
Lineage: Bacteria; Bacillati; Bacillota; Bacilli; Caryophanales; Bacillaceae
Also listed under: 1 other name
Source: RNAcentral
UGGUGGCGAUAGCGAAGAGGUCACACCCGUUCCCAUACCGAACACGGAAGUUAAGCUCUUUAGCGCCGAUGGUAGUUGGGACUUUGUCCCUGUGAGAGUAGGACGUUGCCA